UACGUAGGUGGCAAGCGUUAUCCGGAAUUAUUGGGCGUAAAGCGCGCGCAGGCGGUUUCUUAAGUCUGAUGUGAAAGCCCACGGCUCAACCGUGGAGGGUCAUUGGAAACUGGGGAACUUGAGUGCAGAAGAGAAAAGCGGAAUUCCACGUGUAGCGGUGAAAUGCGUAGAGAUGUGGAGGAACACCAGUGGCGAAGGCGGCUCGCUGGACCGGUUCUGACGCUGAUGCGCGAAAGCGUGGGGAGCAAACGGG
RNAcentral lists this ribosomal RNA (253 nucleotides) under uncultured bacterium. RNAcentral describes it as "partial 16S ribosomal RNA". It matches the Rfam family "Bacterial small subunit ribosomal RNA", at positions 524 to 776 of the family's 1533-position model. The record is from RNAcentral.